This is a long non-coding RNA of Oreochromis aureus, 461 nucleotides long. Lineage: Eukaryota; Metazoa; Chordata; Actinopteri; Cichliformes; Cichlidae. The record is from Ensembl.
GGAGACUGAAGACACACUAUUAGUGAACCUUCGGUGGCUUCAGCUUGUUACCAACAUGGAAAGAAUCCAUCAGAGACCAGACUCCCCACCUACAACCAGCUCUGUAUCUUUGAGGAGUGAUGAUUCAAAGCAUCAAAACAUUGACUUUAAAAAAGGAGAACCCUCUGCUGUUAAAGAAGUUGAUCCAGAAAGCUCAUCUGUUUCCAAUUCCCAGUCUUGCCAGCAGCAUCUACCAGACCGGGACUCUAUAUUUAUGAUAUUGGAAAAGAAAAUGUUUCUUUUUGUGAAGAAUGAGUUGAAGAAGAUGCAGAAUGCUCUGAAUCCAGAUGGCACAGAAACCUCAGAGAGUCAGCGGAAGGAUGAGGAGGUGUUGGACAAUGAAAAUAAGGAGCAGAGGAUGGGCAGCAAAGAGGCAUUUUUGAAAAUCAUAGUGGGUUUUUUGAGUGAAAUGAAGCAGGAGG